CAGCCUCCAAGGAUCUAACUGUUGGGAAUAGUGUCCCAAAGCCAAUUGUCAGCCUGUUGACGGUUGUACUCUUUCUUGUAUUAGUAUAUGAAUUAUAAAUAAAUAAAAGUUAUUUUAUUAUUUUUCAUCAUAAAUUAUUUCAUCUUCUAAUGAACCUCUAAUGUGUGUGACCCCGCAGGUUCGAACCUAAGCCGGUAGCACAGGAACCAAUUCCUAUAUUAAUC
Molecule: long non-coding RNA, 224 nt
Filed under: Elaeis guineensis (African oil palm)
Lineage: Eukaryota; Viridiplantae; Streptophyta; Magnoliopsida; Arecales; Arecaceae
Description: long non-coding RNA (EGUI_LNC050653)
Source: RNAcentral